GGCCUGGUGAAGAUGCAGCAGGGCGCCCCGCCCCCCCGGCUGCCGGAGCCCGGGCCCCGCCCUCCCAUGCUGCCCCCGCUGUCCCAGCUCAACGCCAUGCGAGGCAUGGCCCCCAACAACCCCCCGCCUCCCGGGAUCUCGGUGGGGCCCCCCCCACUCCAGAGGCCACAGAGAGGACCCCCCCCUCCUCCUGGGGAGGACAUCAGAGAGGUACUGCCCACGGAGCGCGACAGGAGACACAGAAAGAGGAGAUCGCAGGGAGUCCCUCAGUACUCGGCGCAAACAACAGGACAGGAGACGCAGUGAGGGAGGAGAUCACGGAGGACAUCUUAGUCAUUAACACACAGCAGGAAACACAGUGAGAGGGGAGAAUCCCUCAGUACUAACACAGGGCAGGACAGGAGACACAGCGAGAGAGAGGGGGGAGAUCACAGACGAUCCCUCAGUAAUAACACAGAGUGGGACAGGAGACACGGCGAGAGAGAGAGGGGAGAUCACAGAGAAUCCCUCAGUAAUAACACAGAGUGGGACA
Molecule: long non-coding RNA, 532 nt
Filed under: Lepisosteus oculatus (spotted gar)
Lineage: Eukaryota; Metazoa; Chordata; Actinopteri; Semionotiformes; Lepisosteidae
Description: lncRNA (ENSLOCG00000022147.1)
Source: RNAcentral